Non-coding RNA from Chelonoidis abingdonii (Abingdon island giant tortoise), 109 nucleotides. The record is from RefSeq and is a predicted model, not a curated record. NCBI's taxonomy places the organism in Eukaryota, Metazoa, Chordata, Testudines, Testudinidae.
UGCAUACAGCAACUCACAAGCAUUCAAUAAAGUCUAAACACUAAAUACAUUGUUAUAAUUCUAAUACCUGUUCUAACAAUACUAACACAGAUGUAAAAAAGACUGAGUC